This is a long non-coding RNA of Symphalangus syndactylus (siamang), 858 nucleotides long. RefSeq lists it as uncharacterized. The record is from RefSeq and is a predicted model, not a curated record. Lineage: Eukaryota; Metazoa; Chordata; Mammalia; Primates; Hylobatidae.
ACAUUCAGAUCAUGGCAGAACUGUCACAGAUGUUACUUUGUGAAGACACAAAGAACAAUGUGAUUGGAGAGAUCAGUCUUCAAUUAGCUAUAUUUUCUAGGAGCCUACCUUUACUUAGCCUCACAACAUGGGCCUUAGCUUUUAGCACUUAAUCUGCAUAAAUACCUGGCUUAAGUGUUAUGACUGACUGGCUAUUCAACCAAACCAUACAAAUGACCAAUUCGGUAAGAAAGCAUGAACUUCAGUGUUGAACCGAAUCAACCAACCUCCUCAAUCCAAAUGGCGAGGAUAACAAAGGAAGCUGAGGAAGUCUGUUCUGGAGGCACCAUGACAAAGCACCAGACAGAAGGCAGUCACGUGUGGGGAGAUGAGCAGAGACACCACUUCUCAAGCACCUGAUUAUUCUUUCUCAGUAUUUAGAAGCAAAAAUUAUCCUUAAGAUAAACAACUGCAAACGCAACACAGGCUACACAGAUGAGAAAAUGGGGCCUGCAGAGCUCAAACCAUUACACCAUUCAGAAGCUGGCUUUGGUAUUACUUCAAAUUAUUCAAAACAGUCACCACUUGCUGAACCUCUAAUGUCUCAUCUGUUGAAUGGGUACAUUUCCUUCCUGAUCCUUCCACCUCGAAACUUGUCUAUUUCCAAGGAUCUAUGGCAUCCAGGCAUAUGAUUUCAAGAGAGAAGGCUGAAAAGGAAGGUGACUGGAAUAUUAAGAACUGUGAGAUAUUCUGAGGAAAUUCUAAUUUGUAAAUUGGUAGAAAUGCCAGUAAUUUGUUGGGAAUUGAAGACCCUCUGUAUUCAAGAGCGAAGCUUGGCAGCUGUGCACUGUUGUUUUAUAAAUCAAUAUUACAUCUGAA